Molecule: transfer RNA, 76 nt
Filed under: Nitrospina sp.
Lineage: Bacteria; Pseudomonadati; Nitrospinota; Nitrospinia; Nitrospinales; Nitrospinaceae
Also listed under: 2 other names
Description: tRNA-Asn
Rfam family: tRNA
About the family: Transfer RNA (tRNA) molecules are approximately 80 nucleotides in length.
Source: RNAcentral
UCCGGUGUGGCGCAAUUGGUAGCGCACUCGACUGUUAAUCGAGUUGUUACAGGUUCGAGUCCUGUCACCGGAGCCA